AUGACUACAGUGUUAUUUAGUGGUUAUGGUGCUUGGAGUGUUCCUUUCACUCCUUCAUGAGAGAUGACUCAUAAAAAUUACACACAAAGUGAAUUUUCACGUUAAUCCUUACAACUUUAUGAGACAAUGGUGGGCUUAAAGAGCUGGUCUAACCCAUAGUUCAUUGUUUUGCAAGCAGAUAGGGUAGAGAUAAAAAUGGUUUGACAAAAA
Non-coding RNA from Pelobates cultripes (western spadefoot toad), 210 nucleotides. The record is from the annotation of a GenBank genome assembly. Lineage: Eukaryota; Metazoa; Chordata; Amphibia; Anura; Pelobatidae.